CGAACGCUGGCGGCAUGCCUAACACAUGCAAGUCGAACGAGACCUCCGGGUCUAGUGGCGCACGGGUGCGUAACGCGUGGGAAUCUGCCCUUCGGUUCGGAAUAACAGUUAGAAAUGACUGCUAAUACCGGAUGAUGACGUAAGUCCAAAGAUUUAUCGCCGAAGGAUGAGCCCGCGUAGGAUUAGGUAGUUGGUGGGGUAAUGGCCCACCAAGCCGACGAUCCUUAGCUGGUCUGAGAGGAUGAUCAGCCACUGGGACUGAGACACGGCCCAGACUCCUACGGGAGGCAGCAGUGGGGAAUAUUGGACAAUGGGCGAAAGCCUGAUCCAGCAAUGCCGCGUGAGUGAUGAAGGCCUUAGGGUUGUAAAGCUCUUUUACCAGGGAUGAUAAUGACAGUACCUGGAGAAUAAGCUCCGGCUAACUCCGUGCCAGCAGCCGCGGUAAUACGGAGGGAGCUAGCGUUGUUCGGAAUUACUGGGCGUAAAGCGCACGUAGGCGGCUAUUCAAGUCGGGGGUGAAAGCCCGGGGCUCAACCCCGGAACUGCCCUCGAAACUAGGUAGCUAGAAUCUUGGAGAGGCGAGUGGAAUUCCGAGUGUAGAGGUGAAAUUCGUAGAUAUUCGGAAGAACACCAGUGGCGAAGGCGACUCGCUGGACAAGUAUUGACGCUGAGGUGCGAAAGCGUGGGGAGCAAA
RNAcentral lists this ribosomal RNA (694 nucleotides) under uncultured soil bacterium. RNAcentral describes it as "bacterial SSU rRNA". It matches the Rfam family "Bacterial small subunit ribosomal RNA", at positions 30 to 772 of the family's 1533-position model. The record is from RNAcentral.